This 498-nucleotide ribosomal RNA is filed under the name uncultured Pseudomonadota bacterium. Its description in RNAcentral is "bacterial SSU rRNA". It matches the Rfam family "Bacterial small subunit ribosomal RNA", at positions 355 to 871 of the family's 1533-position model. The record is from RNAcentral. Lineage: Bacteria; Pseudomonadati; Pseudomonadota.
UGGGGAAUAUUGGACAAUGGGCGAAAGCCUGAUCCAGCCAUGCCGCGUGAGUGAUGAAGGCCCUAGGGUUGUAAAGCUCUUUCAACGGUGAAGAUAAUGACGGUAACCGUAGAAGAAGCCCCGGCUAACUUCGUGCCAGCAGCCGCGGUAAUACGAAGGGGGCUAGCGUUGUUCGGAAUUACUGGGCGUAAAGCGCACGUAGGCGGAUUGUUAAGUGAGGGGUGAAAUCCCAGGGCUCAACCCUGGAACUGCCUCUCAUACUGGCAAUCUCGAGUUCGAGAGAGGUGAGUGGAAUUCCGAGUGUAGAGGUGAAAUUCGUAGAUAUUCGGAGGAACACCAGUGGCGAAGGCGGCUCACUGGCUCGAUACUGACGCUGAGGUGCGAAAGCGUGGGGGGCAAACAGGAUUAGAUACCCUGGUAGUCCACGCUGUAAACGAUGGAAGCCAGCUGUUGGCAAGUUUACUUGUCGGUGGCGCAGCUAACGCAUUAAGCUUCCCG